GACGAACGCUGGCGGCGUGCUUAACACAUGCAAGUCGAACGGAAAGGCCCUGCUUUUGUGGGGUGCUCGAGUGGCGAACGGGUGAGUAGCACGUGAGUAACCUGCCCUUGACUUUGGGAUAACUUCAGGAAACUGGGGCUAAUACCGGAUAGGAGCUCCUGCUGCAUGUUGGGGGUUGGAAAGUUUCGGCGGUUGGGGAUGGGCUCGCGGCUUAUCAGCUUGUUGGUGGGGUAGUGGCUUACCAAGGCUUUGACGGGUAGCCGGCCUGAGAGGGUGACCGGCGACAUGGGGACUGAGAUACGGCCCAGACUCGUACGGGAGGCAGCAGGGGGGAAUAUUGCACAAUGGGCGGAAGCCUGAUGCAGCAACGCCGCGUGCGGGAUGACGGCCUUCGGGUUGUAAACCGCUUUCGCCUGUGACGAAGCGUGAGUGACGGUAAUGGGUAAAGAAGCACCGGCUAACUACGUG
RNAcentral lists this ribosomal RNA (468 nucleotides) under uncultured bacterium. RNAcentral describes it as "partial 16S ribosomal RNA". It matches the Rfam family "Bacterial small subunit ribosomal RNA", at positions 28 to 507 of the family's 1533-position model. The record is from RNAcentral.